RNAcentral lists this ribosomal RNA (498 nucleotides) under uncultured bacterium. Its description in RNAcentral is "partial 16S ribosomal RNA". It matches the Rfam family "Bacterial small subunit ribosomal RNA", at positions 28 to 507 of the family's 1533-position model. The record is from RNAcentral.
GACGAACGCUGGCGGCGUGCCUAAUACAUGCAAGUCGAACGAGAGCGACCGGUGCUUGCACUGGUCAAUCUAGUGGCGAACGGGUGAGUAACACGUGGGUAACCUGCCCAUCAGAGGGGGAUAACAUCCGGAAACGGAUGCUAAAACCGCAUAGGUCUUCGAGCCGCAUGGCUUGAAGAGGAAAAGAGGCGCAAGCUUCUGCUGAUGGAUGGACCCGCGGUGCAUUAGCUAGUUGGUGAGGUAACGGCUCACCAAGGCCGUGAUGCAUAGCCGACCUGAGAGGGUGAUCGGCGACAUUGGGACUGAGACACGGCCCAAACUCCUACGGGAGGCAGCAGUAGGGAAUCUUCCGCAAUGGACGCAAGUCUGACGGAGCAACGCCGCGUGAGUGAAGAAGGUUUUCGGAUCGUAAAACUCUGUUGUUAGAGAAGAACAAGUGCUAGAGUAACUGUUAGCGCCUUGACGGUAUCUAACCAGAAAGCCACGGCUAACUACGUG